This 468-nucleotide ribosomal RNA is filed under the name uncultured bacterium. RNAcentral describes it as "partial 16S ribosomal RNA". It matches the Rfam family "Bacterial small subunit ribosomal RNA", at positions 28 to 507 of the family's 1533-position model. The record is from RNAcentral.
GACGAACGCUGGCGGCGUGCUUAACACAUGCAAGUCGAACGGAAAGGCCCUGCUUUUGUGGGUUGCUCGAGUGGCGAAAGGGGGAGUAACACGUGAGUAACCUGCCCUUUACUUUGGGAGAACUUCAGGAAACUGGGGCUAAUACCGGAUAGGAGCUCCUGCUGCAUGGUGGGGGUUGGAAAGUUUCGGCGGUUGAGGAUGGACUCGCGGCUUAUCAGCUUGUUGGUGGGGUAGUGGCUUACUAAGGCUUUGACGGGUAGCCGGCCUGAGAGGGUGACCGGCCACAUUGGGACUGAGAUACGGGCCAGACUGAUACGGGAGGCAGCAGUGGGGACCAUUCCGAGAUGGGCGGCAGCAUGAUGCAGCAACGCCGCGUGCGGGAUGACGGUCGUCGGUUUGUAACCCGCUUUCGCCUGUGACGAAGCGUGAGUGACGGUAAUGGGUAAAGAAGCAACGGCUAACUACGUG